Molecule: RNA transcript, 507 nt
Organism: Zalophus californianus (California sea lion)
Lineage: Eukaryota; Metazoa; Chordata; Mammalia; Carnivora; Otariidae
Gene name: zinc finger protein 510-like
Exons: 2
Source: RefSeq, a predicted model, not a curated record
GCAGAAGCUUAUCCGUCACAGUUCUCUGUACUCUCCCAACAACAGCAGAAAAUGGACACAUCUCAGGCAUCAGUGUCGUUCAAGGACGUGACUGUGGAAUUCACCCAAGAGGAGUGGCAGCAAAUGGGUCCUAUUCAGAGGACCCUGUAUAGAGAUGUGAUGCUGGAGAACUAAAACAACCUAGUCUCAGUGGGGAACUGCAUUUUCAAACCAGCCGUAAUCUUCAAGUUGGAGCAAGGAGAGGAGCCUUGGUUCUUAGAGGAAGAAUUCUCAAACCAGAGCCACCGAGAAGAUUACAGAGAUGAUGACCUGAUGAAGAGGAACAAGAAAAUCCAAGAUAAACACUUGCAGGAAAUAAUAUUCAUCGAUAAUAAACCAUUGACUGGAGAGGAAGAAGAAGUUUUGGGAAAACAGUUUAAUCUGCACAUAGCUCCUGUUUCAACAAAAAUAUCUUGUAAAUAUGACUCAUGGGGAAACUCAGACCCAGCAGGUGAACGGAAGUAUUAG